AAAAGAUAAUAAAAAUUGGCAAAGAAAAAUGCAUUCAUUUGCUCUGCAUCAAUCAAAGCUGGGGGCAUCCUAAGAAGCACCAUCAAAAGGGAAGUUUUGAAGGGUAAUCAUGGAAAGGAUCCAGCAAAGGGUACGCAAGACUUCAAACAGUACCGAGGCAAAGCCGAUUGAAGGGGUUAUAGCCGAUUGUGCAUAAGAGAAGUAAGGCGAAUUUUAGUUGGUUAACGACUAGAAUCAAAAUUUGAUAAAUUAAGACUUAGGAGGCCUAGUCAUUUUCGAUAUCGAUAUAAAAAUCAAAUUUUAAUAGGUAGUAGUUAUAAUUAGUUAUGGCUAAAAUAUGUUUUAGCUGUUUAACAAAUUAGUUACCGUAAAGCUAAUAAUUUAAUUAAUAAAUGAUCUUAUANNNN
RNAcentral lists this long non-coding RNA (407 nucleotides) under Jatropha curcas. RNAcentral's name for it is "long non-coding RNA (JCUR_LNC000595)". The record is from RNAcentral. Lineage: Eukaryota; Viridiplantae; Streptophyta; Magnoliopsida; Malpighiales; Euphorbiaceae.